CAUCAAACACAUAGCCCAAACGGCUCUCUCUAGAUAUUCUGAAAAUACUUUUACACUCUCCAUUUCACAGCAAGUCCUUCUUCCUCCCAUAUAUAUUUUUUUCAUUUCUUUCGGACCCCAUUUCUCUACUCUCUCUCCUUCAUUACUCCCAAAAAACACAAGAACCUUCUAUAUCUUUAGACAAACCGAAUAGACUCUCUCGGAUCUCUUCCCAUUUUCAAAACUCUCAAGCUCAGCCAUCCAUUCAAACCUCCAGUUCACAACAGCUCCUGCAACCGCUGUAAGUGAUGCAUCCGUAGCCUUCCAUAACCCAGCAACAACACACCGCCGUGUCUCGGAAAUCCAGCACCUCGAGCAGCAAGACCAACAACCUGCUCAGAUGAAACCGCAUAUCGCAUCCUGCUCUAGUCUGACACACUCACAGCCCUGUUGGGAAGGGUUCUGGUGGCACAUAAACUUGGGGAGAAAAAGAUUGUGGGGAAAUUGUUUCACGAUCAGCAGGUGGUGUUUCCUCCUUUGGGCAUGACUGGGUGGCAGAUUGCUCUACAAUUCCUGCACCAAUCUCCUCUUGAUCAUUAAAGCUCUUCCCAUAAUUUAAUGCUUGAAUCAGAAAUCCGUCAUUGGUUAUUUCAAUGUAUAAGUCAGUUAAUUCCAACAAUUUAGAGAGCUUGUCCUCCACUGGAAGCUCUUGUGGCACAUUAAGCUGCUCAAAAUAUUGCCCAAGAUGCUCUUUCAAACUUUGAGUGUAGAACUCUGAAUGGGGAUUGUUCCAGUUCCAUUUUGAAUCGUUUCUCAUAUUUAUA
Non-coding RNA from Malus domestica (apple), 803 nucleotides. Lineage: Eukaryota; Viridiplantae; Streptophyta; Magnoliopsida; Rosales; Rosaceae. The record is from RefSeq and is a predicted model, not a curated record.